GAUGAACGCUGGCGGCGUGCCUAAUACAUGCAAGUCGAGCGAACAGACGAGGAGCUUGCUCCCCUGACGUUAGCGGCGGACGGGUGAGUAACACGUGGAUAACCUACCUAUAAGACUGGGAUAACUUCGGGAAACCGGAGCUAAUACCGGAUAAUAUAUUGAACCGCAUGGUUCAAUAGUGAAAGACGGUUUUGCUGUCACUUAUAGAUGGAUCCGCGCCGCAUUAGCUAGUUGGUAAGGUAACGGCUUACCAAGGCGACGAUGCGUAGCCGACCUGAGAGGGUGAUCGGCCACACUGGAACUGAGACACGGUCCAGACUCCUACGGGAGGCAGCAGUAGGGAAUCUUCCGCAAUGGGCGAAAGCCUGACGGAGCAACGCCGCGUGAGUGAUGAAGGUCUUCGGAUCGUAAAGCUCUGUUAUUAGGGAAGAACAAAUGUGUAUGUAACUAUGCACGUCUUGACGGUACCUGAACAGAAAGCCACGGCUAACUACGUG
Molecule: ribosomal RNA, 497 nt
Filed under: uncultured bacterium
Lineage: Bacteria
Description: partial 16S ribosomal RNA
Rfam family: Bacterial small subunit ribosomal RNA
Source: RNAcentral